GAGUUUNNNUCCUGGCUCAGAUUGAACGCUGGCGGCAGGCCUAACACAUGCAAGUCGAACGGUAACAGGAAGCAGCUUGCUGCUUCGCUGACGAGUGGCGGACGGGUGAGUAAUGUCUGGGGAUCUGCCUGAUGGAGGGGGAUAACUACUGGAAACGGUAGCUAAUACCGCAUAACGUCGCAAGACCAAAGAGGGGGACCUUCGGGCCUCUUGCCAUCAGAUGAACCCAGAUGGGAUUAGCUAGUAGGUGGGGUAACGGCUCACCUAGGCGACGAUCCCUAGCUGGUCUGAGAGGAUGACCAGCCACACUGGAACUGAGACACGGUCCAGACUCCUACGGGAGGCAGCAGUGGGGAAUAUUGCACAAUGGGCGCAAGCCUGAUGCAGCCAUGCCGCGUGUAUGAAGAAGGCCUUCGGGUUGUAAAGUACUUUCAGCGGGGAGGAAGGCGAUGCGGUUAAUAACCGUGUCGAUUGACGUUACCCGCAGAAGAAGCACCGGCUAACUCCGUGCCAGCAGCCGCGGUAAUACGGAGGGUGCAAGCGUUAAUCGGAAUUACUGGGCGUAAAGCGCACGCAGGCGGUCUGUCAAGUCGGAUGUGAAAUCCCCGGGCUCAACCUGGGAACUGCAUCCGAAACUGGCAGGCUUGAGUCUUGUAGAGGGGGGUAGAAUUCCAGGUGUAGCGGUGAAAUGCGUAGAGAUCUGGAGGAAUACCGGUGGCGAAGGCGGCCCCCUGGACAAAGAC
RNAcentral lists this ribosomal RNA (743 nucleotides) under Atlantibacter hermannii. RNAcentral describes it as "bacterial SSU rRNA". It matches the Rfam family "Bacterial small subunit ribosomal RNA", at positions 9 to 740 of the family's 1533-position model. Lineage: Bacteria; Pseudomonadati; Pseudomonadota; Gammaproteobacteria; Enterobacterales; Enterobacteriaceae. The record is from RNAcentral.